UGUGUAACGUCCUCACUACUUCUUGUGUCUCCCUGCUGCCGUCCUCCGCUCCAUUCCCUCACUACAUACCCCCACAUCCACAUCAAUUACUCGCCGUGGGACAAGCCGAGCGGCGUCUUUGGGCCGGCUGAGAGGGACGGGGGGACUUUGGAGCGCCUCAAGUAGAAGAAGAAGACGACGCUGAAGAGCAGGAUGGCAAACUGCGCCUCGCCUUUGUGGUGCAUCAUCUGGCUGCUGCUGCUGCUCUUCCUCGCCUGGCCCCUCAGCAUCACCUUGGGGGGUAUCUACGGUCUCGUCAGCCCCCUCACCACCUGCCUCGGCCUGGACCGCCUCUCCGACCUUCUCCUGGAGGGCGCCAACCUGGGCCGAACCUGCGCCCUGAACAUGCGGCACUGCAAGCCGCUGUGUUGAGCCGCGCGAACAAGUUGUGCGAUUGUUAUCGUCGUCCGUGAAGAAAACGGAUUGAGCUGGAUGUGUUGGCAUGCAAGCGGCCGCAUGUUUGUGUUUUGCGAGGCUCUGUUGCUACGGAAACGGGCCCGGUUAAUUCCCGAUGACGCUGCACGAAGAAGAUAAGAGCGCAAGUGGCGAAUGUAACAAUGGCGACGCUCGUACUUAUAAAUGACUGUUUGCAAACUUCUAAUACGAUUAAACCUGCUUUCAACUCCUG
Molecule: long non-coding RNA, 667 nt
Organism: Nerophis lumbriciformis (worm pipefish)
Lineage: Eukaryota; Metazoa; Chordata; Actinopteri; Syngnathiformes; Syngnathidae
Source: RefSeq, a predicted model, not a curated record